Molecule: ribosomal RNA, 408 nt
Filed under: uncultured microorganism
Description: bacterial SSU rRNA
Rfam family: Archaeal small subunit ribosomal RNA
Source: RNAcentral
GUGCAGCAGGCGCGAAACUUUACAAUGUGCGAAAGCACGAUAAGGGAACUCUGAGUGCCUCCUAAGGAGGCUGUUCAGGUGUCUGAAAGCACCUGAAGGAAGGGCUAGGUAAGACCGGUGCCAGCCGCCGCGGUAACACCGGCAGCCCAAGUGGUAGCCACGUUUAUUGGGUCUAAAGCGUCCGUAGCCGGCUGGGUAAGUUCCUUGGGAAAUUUGGCUGCUUAACAGUCAAGCUUUCAGGGAAUACUGCCCGGCUAGGGACCGGGAGAGGUCAGAGGUACUCCAGGGGUAGGGUGAAAUCCAUUAAAUCCUUGGGGGACCACCGGUAGCGAAGGCGUCUGACCAGACCGGGUCCGACGGUGAGGGACGAAGGCUAGGGGCGCGAACCGGAUUAGAUACCCCUGUAGU